This is a non-coding RNA of Boothiomyces macroporosus, 73 nucleotides long. The record is from the annotation of a GenBank genome assembly. Lineage: Eukaryota; Fungi; Chytridiomycota; Chytridiomycetes; Rhizophydiales; Terramycetaceae.
ACUGUUGUAGCUUAAUGGAUAAAGCUGUACACUUUUAAUGUAUAGAUUGAGGGUUCAAGUCCCUCCAACAGUA